GAGACACGAGCCUGCUGACAGGCACCAUGCCUGGCCGGAUGCUGCUACCUGGCUUCAGUGACACCUGCAUGUCCUCGGGGAUGAAGAAGGACUCAUUGUACCAGAUAUCGAAUUCUGCGAGGAGGCAGGAAGACAGCAUGGGUCUCACCCUUUCCCAUCUCCCCCUCCGGCUCUCAGAGUCCUGGAAACGCUUUGGAAGCCCCUGUCCAGCCCCAGCCUCUGUCAGAGAGCAGCUCUGAAGCCGCUUCUAGAACCCAGGUGGUGGCCUUGCCCUCUGCCUCCCGGGACCUCAGGUGGUCAGCCAACCUUCCCAAAUGGCACACCUGUGAGCAGGCGGUGACGACACUGAUCCACCAGGUGCUGGCAGUACUGGAUCUCGGCCUUGAGGUCACGCAGGUCCUGGUACUCAGCACGGUACUGCUUCUUGAGGUCUUUGAGCUUCAGAAUCAGCAGGAAUUCCUCCUCAUCGAUGAUCAUCAGCCCCUUGUUCUCAUACUCACCUGCAGGGACACAGGAGAGAGACAGCCAGCUAGAGAGGGAACACAAGCAGGGGGAGCGGGA
Ailuropoda melanoleuca (giant panda) is the source of this 561-nucleotide long non-coding RNA. RefSeq lists it as uncharacterized. The record is from RefSeq and is a predicted model, not a curated record. Lineage: Eukaryota; Metazoa; Chordata; Mammalia; Carnivora; Ursidae. The transcript has 3 exons.